GACGAACGCUGGCGGCGUGCUUAACACAUGCAAGUCGAACGGAAAGGCCCUGCUUUUGUGGGGUGCUCGAGUGGCGAACGGGUGAGUAACACGUGAGUAACCUGCCCUUGACUUUGGGAUAACUUCAGGAAACUGGGGCUAAUACCGGAUAGGAGCUCCUGCUGCAUGGUGGGGGUUGGAAAGUUUCGGCGGUUGGGGAUGGACUCGCGGCUUAUCAGCUUGUUGGUGGGGUAGUGGAUUACCAAGGCUUAGACGGGUAGCCGGCCUGAGAGGGGGACCGGCCACAUUGGGACUGAGAGACGGCCCAGACUCCUACGGGAGGCAGCAGUGGGGAACAUGGCACAAUGGGCGGAAGCCUGGGGCAGCAACGCUGCGUGCGGGAUGACGGCCUUCGGGUGAUAAACCGCUUUCGCCUGUGACGAAGCGUGAGUGACGGUAAUGGGUAAAGAAGCACCGGCUAACUACGUG
RNAcentral lists this ribosomal RNA (468 nucleotides) under uncultured bacterium. RNAcentral's name for it is "partial 16S ribosomal RNA". It matches the Rfam family "Bacterial small subunit ribosomal RNA", at positions 28 to 507 of the family's 1533-position model. The record is from RNAcentral.